Chelonia mydas (Green sea turtle) is the source of this 462-nucleotide long non-coding RNA. RefSeq lists it as uncharacterized. The transcript has 2 exons. The record is from RefSeq and is a predicted model, not a curated record. NCBI's taxonomy places the organism in Eukaryota, Metazoa, Chordata, Testudines, Cheloniidae.
GGAUGAGAAACCCAUAUCUUGGCAGCUCAGCUACAUUAACACAGAAGGAAGCGAGUUCCAAAGAAAAUUCAGGGACGGAAGAGAAAAAAGAGGAUGUAAACUGGCCAAGCAAGCUAGUCCUAUGUCUGGCACCAGUGAAGGAUUAAGUGACGUUUUAAGCAAUCUCAUAUACCACUCCCAAGGGACAGUUAAAGUCCAGUCGGGAUGUAUCUGUACUUUUAUGCCAUUUCGAGCUGUGGAAAGUUUGUCAGGUGGACCCAGACUGAAUGCAUGAUUUUUCAUCCCCAUCAUGUGAAAUUCACAGGGUUGUUUUUUUGCUGCUGUGUGUUUUGUUUUUUAAAGACAGGCAUAGCUCUGAGAGUGUGGCAGUGUUUCGCUUUGAAUGUGUUCCAACGCUGCCAUUUGAGUCGUGUGUGGUUUGUAUAUGAGGCCCAACUACAUAAACCCAUGGGAAUUCUACAA